GUUGAGUCUAAGAUUUUAGUGUCUACACUUCGUCUUACAUUUUCCAUUCUUUCCAUUUUCACAAGUCCUAUGAUACAGUUGAAAAUCUUUCCUACGUACUAGUAAAGCCAUAGGAACUUAAAAUUAUUAAGUGUCAAGCACAUAUGAAAAUCAGACAAUGGGAUUGCCACAGACCUUCAAUUUGUAAAAAAAAAAUGCAACAUCUG
RNAcentral lists this long non-coding RNA (206 nucleotides) under Pan troglodytes (chimpanzee). Its description in RNAcentral is "long non-coding RNA NONPTRT014446". The record is from RNAcentral. Lineage: Eukaryota; Metazoa; Chordata; Mammalia; Primates; Hominidae.